UACGUAGGGGGCUAGCGUUGUCCGGAAUCAUUGGGCGUAAAGCGCGCGUAGGCGGCCCGGUAAGUCCGCUCUGAAAGUCCAGGGCUCAACCCUGGAAUGCGGGUGGAUACUGCCGGGCUAGAGUCCGGAAGAGGCGAGUGGAAUUCCUGGUGUAGCGGUGGAAUGCGCAGAUAUCAGGAAGAACACCCGUGGCGAAGGCGGCUCUCUGGGACGGUACUGACGCUGAGACGCGAAAGCGUGGGGAGCGAACAGG
This 253-nucleotide ribosomal RNA is filed under the name uncultured bacterium. RNAcentral describes it as "partial 16S ribosomal RNA". It matches the Rfam family "Bacterial small subunit ribosomal RNA", at positions 524 to 776 of the family's 1533-position model. The record is from RNAcentral.